CAGAUAGAAUAGAGCCAGAUAGAAUAGAGCCAGAUAGAGUAGAGCCAGAUAGAAUAGAGCCAGAUAGAAUAGUCAUAUGGAAAGAGACAGAUAGAGUAGAGACAGAUAGAGUAGAGACAGAUAGAAUAGUCAUAUGGAAAGAGACAGAUAGAAUAGUCAUAUGGAAAGAGACAGAUAGAGUAGAGACAAAGACAGAUAGAAUUCAGCCAGAUCGAAUAGAGCCAGAUAGAGUAGAGCCAGAUGGAGUAGAGACAGAUGGAGUAGAGACAGAUGGAGUAGUGCCAGAUAGAAUAGAGCCAGAUGGAGUAGAGACAGAUGGAGUAGAGACAGAUGGAGUGGAGCCAGAUGGAGUGGAGCCAGAUGGAGUAGAGACAGAUGGAGUGGAG
Long non-coding RNA from Oncorhynchus tshawytscha (Chinook salmon), 386 nucleotides. The record is from Ensembl. NCBI's taxonomy places the organism in Eukaryota, Metazoa, Chordata, Actinopteri, Salmoniformes, Salmonidae.